GAUGAACGCUAGCGGCAGGCCUAACACAUGCAAGUCGAGGGAGAAGCCCUUUCGGGGGCCGCAACCGGCGCACGGGUGCGUAACGCGUAUGCAACCUACCUUUCACAGGGGGAUAGCCAGAAGAAAUUUGGAUUAAUACCCCAUAAUAUUAUUGGAUGGCGUCAUUUGAUAAUUAAAACUGCGGUGGUGAAAGAUGGGCAUGCGUCCUAUUAGCUGGUUGGAGUGGUAACGGCAACCAAGGCUACGAUAGGUAGGGGUCCUGGAAGGGAGAUCCCCCAUACUGGUACAGGGACAGCCAGCAGACUACUGCGGGAGGCAGCAGUGUGGAAUAGUGGGCAAUGGUCGGAAGUAUGAAACAGCCAUGCCGCGUGCAGGAAGAAUGCCUUAUGGGUAGUAAGCAGCUUUUAGAUGGGAAGAAUGAGGUGUAAGUGUACGUUGAUGACGGUACCAUAUGAAUAAGCAUCGGCUAACUACGUG
This 477-nucleotide ribosomal RNA is filed under the name uncultured bacterium. Its description in RNAcentral is "partial 16S ribosomal RNA". It matches the Rfam family "Bacterial small subunit ribosomal RNA", at positions 28 to 507 of the family's 1533-position model. The record is from RNAcentral.